RNAcentral lists this ribosomal RNA (733 nucleotides) under uncultured Caulobacter sp. Its description in RNAcentral is "bacterial SSU rRNA". It matches the Rfam family "Bacterial small subunit ribosomal RNA", at positions 57 to 837 of the family's 1533-position model. Lineage: Bacteria; Pseudomonadati; Pseudomonadota; Alphaproteobacteria; Caulobacterales; Caulobacteraceae. The record is from RNAcentral.
GCAAGUCGAGCGCACCUUCGGGUGAGCGGCGGACGGGUGAGUAACGCGUGGGAACGUGCCCUUUGGUUCGGAACAACACAGGNAAACUUGUGCUAAUACCGAAUGUGCCCUUCGGGGGAAAGAUUUAUCAGCCAUUGGAGCGGCCCGCGAUGGAUUAGGUAGUUGGUGGGGUAAAGGCCCACCAAGGCCGACGAUCCAUAACUGGUCUGAGAGGAUGAUCAGCCACAACUGGGACUGAGACACGGCCCAGACUCUUACGGGAGUCAGCAGUAGGGAUCUUGCGCAAUGGGCGAAAGCCUUACGCAGCCAUGCCGCGUGAAUGAUGAAGGUCUUAGGAUUGUGAAAUUCUUUCACCGGGGAAGAUAAUGACGGUACCCGGAGAAGAAGCCCCGGCUAACUUCGUGCCAGCAGCCGCGGUAAUACGAAGGGGGCUAGCGUUGCUCGGAAUUACUGGGCGUAAAGGGCGCGUAGGCGGAUAGUUUAGUCAGAGGUGAAAGCCCAGGGCUCAACCUUGGAACUGCCUUUGAUACUGGCUAUCUUGAGUUCGGGAGAGGUGAGUGGAAUGCCGAGUGUAGAGGUGAAAUUCGUAGAUAUUCGGCGGAACACCAGUGGCGAAGGCGACUCACUGGCCCGAUACUGACGCUGAGGCGCGAAAGCGUGGGGAGCAAACAGGAUUAGAUACCCUGGUAGUCCACGCUGUAAACGAUGAGUGCUAGUUGUCGGCAUGCAUGCA